RNAcentral lists this ribosomal RNA (235 nucleotides) under uncultured bacterium. RNAcentral's name for it is "partial 16S ribosomal RNA". It matches the Rfam family "Bacterial small subunit ribosomal RNA", at positions 84 to 334 of the family's 1533-position model. The record is from RNAcentral.
CCAUGAGUACAGUGGCGUACGGGUGAGUAACACGUGGGGAUCUACCUUCGGGUGGGGGAUAACUCUGGGAAACCGGAGCUAAUACCGCAUAAGCAGGGAACUGGAAAGCCGAAAGGCGCCGGAAGAGGAGCCCGCGGCCGAUUAGCUAGUUGGUGAGGUAACGGCUCACCAAGGCAAAGAUCGGUAGCCGGCCUGAGAGGGCACACGGCCACACUGGCACUGAAACACGGGCCAG